Molecule: non-coding RNA, 763 nt
Organism: Paramuricea clavata
Lineage: Eukaryota; Metazoa; Cnidaria; Anthozoa; Malacalcyonacea; Plexauridae
Source: the annotation of a GenBank genome assembly
AAAAAUAAUCCAUUCUUAGCGAAAUUAAAUGAGCGUUGAAAUGGCUUCCUGCGGCGACAUUGUGUCUUGGUCUUGUUGAGAACUACUCAUUCAGUGCUGCAAACUCGCAAGGAUAAUGGCUUGAAAAAUAUGACUUUUGUCAUGAUAGUUUUGAAAAAGUACAAAAUCAUGUCGUAAACAGUACAAUAGUAAGGAGUCGCUAUACAAACAACGUUUCGCUAAUUAAAAGAAGAAAGCAAAGCUUAAAAAGUCUAAAAUUUCAAACACAAAAUGGCUUCCCGAAUAAACUAAAUAAAGUUCACGUUAACAAUCCGGACAAAACUGCAUGCAAAAGAAUCCGAAUAACGUUAAAAUUUGUACAAUAUCUGGAAAACUAAAGAAGCAAACCAUUUUAUAGCGACAUAGACAACAGUUUAGAUUAAUAUUUAAUCGGACCUUAAUGAAGUUGAAUAUGUUGGAAAAGAGACAAAUAGCAGUGGCGUAGACAAGGGGUGGCAAGGGGGAGCUCAGCCCCCCCAAUAGGCUGAAAAACUGCCCUUGUAAAAAGAUGAAAUCCGGGUAGAAAUUAGGGGGGUGGGGAGGAUGACUACCGAUGUGACUGCCAAUCUCAUCUGUUUACCAAAUUCGAUCUAUAAAAGUUCUAAUCUUUCCUAAAUCUAACUACGGAAAAUAAUGCCUAUGGUGGUCAUUGGGUAAAAUGCGUUUAAAACUUCGAUUUAACUAUUUACAUGCCACCAAGUAAGCUUCGUUGAGCCAAAUUAAG